Molecule: long non-coding RNA, 1448 nt
Filed under: Marmota monax (woodchuck)
Lineage: Eukaryota; Metazoa; Chordata; Mammalia; Rodentia; Sciuridae
Source: RNAcentral
UCUAGGACUCAUGGUAUUCUGGAACUUUCAUUUUAGUUUUAUCAUUAUCCUAGAGUUGUAAAUAUCAAAGAGUCAGUGGCUGUGUGGGGUAGAGAAAAGUCUAAAGCCCUGCUUUGAUUUUUAGCUCCAAGUAGGACCAGCCGCCACUGAGAGUCUCCACCCCUGUGUGGGAGCCAAGGUCAAGAGGAGCAGUGACUAUGCAGGGACAGUCUCUGGGUCAUCCGUGGGAGGAGAGUCCCUUAAGAUUUUAAGGAGAUUUUCCUGAAACAGCACUGUUAAACAGAAAUUACAAUGUGAGCCACGUGUGUUUUAAACUGUCUAGUAGCCAUGUUGAAAGAGGCAAAAGAAAUGAAUUUUAUCAAUAUUUAAUCUAAUGUGUCCAACAUUUAUUAUUUUGACAGGUAAUCAAGGUAAAAAUCAUCAAGGAGCUGUUUUACUUUAUUUGGUUCUAAGUCUUUCAAAUGCACUGCAAUGUAUACUUUAUACACAACAUAUCAAUUCAGACACAAAAUUCUCAUAGGAAAUACUUGGUCUGUAUUAAGGUAUCUGAAGAUUACAGUUGAAAAAGCAGAUUCACACACCCUAAUUGUUCCAGACACACUUGAAAGUCUUCCAAAAUUUGACUCCAUUAUCAAGUUUUUAAUUUUAAGUGGAUUUAAAUGAAAAAUUAAGCGCCUCAACUGCACUAGUCACAUUUCACGUAUUUGUUCACCUUCUGUGCCUGGUGGCUACUGCACUGGACAGUUUUAGUGUAUGAUGGUCUCUCCAGAAGCUCCUUGUCCCUUGUGACACCCACAGAAAGCAAGACUGAAGGAACUUUCCUUUGUGUAGUUACACCAGUCUCACUUUUUCACUGAACCCAGCAGUCUGUGGGGAUCCCCUUUAGGCAAUUUGGUGCUGACUGCCUAUUUUUCCAACAGUGAUGCUAAGCCUCAGGAGGGCUGAAUUGUAUAAUUCCAGCUACCUGUGUUAGAGCCAGAGCUUCUGCUGGUACCCAGGCCAGUGCUCCUCCUCUUCCCCCAGGACUCCAUUUUGUGUCCUUCCAAACACCCAGUAGUGACCCAGGGGAGAUGAAGGAUGAGCUCUUCCCUCCCUCACUUGACUAGGCUUCGGCACUCUUCCCACCUAAGGUUGGUUGUCCUUAAAGAGACGUGGGACACCUGGAGGCAUUAAAAAAAAAAAGCACUGGCCUGUGCUGCUCCUCAGUUCUUUUGGCAGAGCCUUUCCUCUGGCAGAGCUGCACGUGUUCCAGGCACAAGCCAGUUUCCACUCCAUGGGUUUGGAGGUGUAGCUAGAGGGACAUUUUGUACUUAGGAAUUCAGCAGCUGCCCCAGCAACGUUUUCCAUUUUCUGCCCUGUAGUUGCCACUAGUCUGGCCUGGGCCCCAGUACCUUGCCUUCAGGAAUCAUCACAAGUGGGGGACAAGGCACUCAUUCAGUUCUAGCAAG